ACAGUUGGGGCGGUCAGUAUUCCAAAGCGAGAGGUGAAAUUCUUAGACCUUCGGAAGACUAACAGCUGCGAAAGCGUUCCGCAAGGAUGUUCCCUUUGAUCAAGAACGAAAGUUGGGGGAUCGAAGACGAUCAGAUACCGUCGUAGUCUCAACUAUAAACUAUACCAGCUAGGGAUCGGCCAACGUUAUUCUAUACCGACUUGGUCGGCACCUUAUGAGAAAUCAAAGCAUCUGGGUUCCGGGGGGAGUAUGGUCGCAAGGCUGAAACUUAAAGGAAUUGACGGAAGGGCACCACCAGCCGUGGAGCCUGUGGCUUAAUUUGACUCAACACGGGAAAACUUACCAGGUCCAGACAUAGUAAGGAUUGACAGAUUGAUAGCUC
Molecule: ribosomal RNA, 382 nt
Filed under: uncultured marine eukaryote
Lineage: Eukaryota
Description: SSU rRNA
Rfam family: Eukaryotic small subunit ribosomal RNA
Source: RNAcentral